Molecule: ribosomal RNA, 252 nt
Filed under: uncultured bacterium
Lineage: Bacteria
Description: partial 16S ribosomal RNA
Rfam family: Bacterial small subunit ribosomal RNA
Source: RNAcentral
UACGGGGGGGCAAGCGUUGUUCGGAAUUACUGGGCGUAAAGGGCUCGUAGGCGGCCAACUAAGUCGGAUGUGAAAUCCCCAGGCUCAACUUGGGAACUGCAUCCGAUACUGGAUGGCUUGAAUUCGGGAGAGGUGAGUGGAACUGCGAGUGUAGAGGUGAAAUUCGUAGAUAUUCGCAAGAACACCAGUGGCGAAGGCGGCUCACUGGCCCGGUACUGACGCUGAGGUGCGAAAGCGUGGGGAGCAAACAGG